GAUGAACGCUGGCGGCGUGCCUAAUACAUGCAAGUCGAGCGAACGGACGAGAAGCUUGCUUCUCUGAUGUUAGCGGCGGACGGGUGAGUAACACGUGGAUAACCUACCUAUAAGACUGGGAUAACUUCGGGAAACCGGAGCUAAUACCGGAUAAUAUUUUGAACCGCAUGGUUCAAAAGUGAAAGACGGUCUUGCUGUCACUUAUAGAUGGAUCCGCGCUGCAUUAGCUAGUUGGUAAGGUAACGGCUUACCAAGGCAACGAUGCAUAGCCGACCUGAGAGGGUGAUCGGCCACACUGGAACUGAGACACGGUCCAGACUCCUACGGGAGGCAGCAGUAGGGAAUCUUCCGCAAUGGGCGAAAGCCUGACGGAGCAACGCCGCGUGAGUGAUGAAGGUCUUCGGAUCGUAAAACUCUGUUAUUAGGGAAGAACAUAUGUGUAAGUAACUGUGCACAUCUUGACGGUACCUAAUCAGAAAGCCACGGCUAACUACGUGCCAGCAGCCGCGGUAAUACGUAGGUGGCAAGCGUUAUCCGGAAUUAUUGGGCGUAAAGCGCGCGUAGGCGGUUUUUUAAGUCUGAUGUGAAAGCCCACGGCUCAACCGUGGAGGGUCAUUGGAAACUGGAAAACUUGAGUGCAGAAGAGGAAAGUGGAAUUCCAUGUGUAGCGGUGAAAUGCGCAGAGAUAUGGAGGAACACCAGUGGCGAAGGCGACUUUCUGGUCUGUAACUGACGCUGAUGUGCGAAAGCGUGGGGAUCAAACAGGAUUAGAUACCCUGGUAGUCCACGCCGUAAACGAUGAGUGCUAAGUGUUAGGGGGUUUCCGCCCCUUAGUGCUGCAGCUAACGCAUUAAGCACUCCGCCUGGGGAGUACGACCGCAAGGUUGAAACUCAAAGGAAUUGACGGGGACCCGCACAAGCGGUGGAGCAUGUGGUUUAAUUCGAAGCAACGCGAAGAACCUUACCAAAUCUUGACAUCCUUUGACAACUCUAGAGAUAGAGCCUUCCCCUUCGGGGGACAAAGUGACAGGUGGUGCAUGGUUGUUGUCAGCUCGUGUCGUGAGAUGUUGGGUUAAGUCCCGCAACGAGCGCAACCCUUAAGCUUAGUUGCCAUCAUUAAGUUGGGCACUCUAAGUUGACUGCCGGUGACAAACCGGAGGAAGGUGGGGAUGACGUCAAAUCAUCAUGCCCCUUAUGAUUUGGGCUACACACGUGCUACAAUGGACAAUACAAAGGGCAGCGAAACCGCGAGGUCAAGCAAAUCCCAUAAAGUUGUUCUCAGUUCGGAUUGUAGUCUGCAACUCGACUACAUGAAGCUGGAAUCGCUAGUAAUCGUAGAUCAGCAUGCUACGGUGAAUACGUUCCCGGGUCU
Molecule: ribosomal RNA, 1372 nt
Filed under: uncultured bacterium
Lineage: Bacteria
Description: bacterial SSU rRNA
Rfam family: Bacterial small subunit ribosomal RNA
Source: RNAcentral